Molecule: ribosomal RNA, 161 nt
Filed under: Hordeum roshevitzii
Lineage: Eukaryota; Viridiplantae; Streptophyta; Magnoliopsida; Poales; Poaceae
Description: 5.8S ribosomal RNA
Rfam family: 5.8S ribosomal RNA
About the family: 5.8S ribosomal RNA (5.8S rRNA) is a component of the large subunit of the eukaryotic ribosome. It is transcribed by RNA polymerase I as part of the 45S precursor that also contains 18S and 28S rRNA. Functionally, it is thought that 5.8S rRNA may be involved in ribosome translocation.
Source: RNAcentral
ACGACUCUCGGCAACGGAUAUCUCGGCUCUCGCAUCGAUGAAGAACGUAGCGAAAUGCGAUACUUGGUGUGAAUUGCAGAAUCCUGCGAACCAUCGAGUCUUUGAACGCAAGUUGCGCCCGAGGCCACUCGGCCGAGGGCACGCCUGCCUGGGCGUCACGC